This 443-nucleotide ribosomal RNA is filed under the name uncultured bacterium. Its description in RNAcentral is "partial 16S ribosomal RNA". It matches the Rfam family "Bacterial small subunit ribosomal RNA", at positions 28 to 507 of the family's 1533-position model. The record is from RNAcentral.
GAUGAACGCUGGCGGCAUGCCUAACACAUGCAAGUCGAUCGGUAAGGCCCUUCGGAGUACACGAGAGGCGGACGGCUGAGUAACGCGUAGGAACACACCCUGCAGUGAGGGAUAAGACACCGAAAGGUGUUCUAAUACCGCAUACGGUCUUCGGCUUAAAGCAUUUAUGCGCUGAAGGAGUGGCCUGCGUCAUAUUAGAUAGUUGGUGAGGUAAUGGCUCACCAAGUCGAUGAUGUGUAGCUGGUCUGAGAGGAUGAUCAGCCAGACUGGAACUGAGACACGGUCCAGACUCCUACGGGAGGCAGCAGUGAGGAAUAUUUCACAAUGAGCGAAAGCUUGAUGGAGCAAUGCCGCGUGCAGGAUGAAGGCUCUCGGGUUGUAAACUGCUUUUAUAAGAGAAGAUUAUGACGGUAACUUAUGAAUAAGGGACGGCUAACUACGUG